This 519-nucleotide long non-coding RNA is filed under the name Phasianus colchicus (ring-necked pheasant). Its description in RNAcentral is "lncRNA (ENSPCLG00000012268.1)". The record is from RNAcentral. Lineage: Eukaryota; Metazoa; Chordata; Aves; Galliformes; Phasianidae.
ACUUCUAUGUGAGCAAUCUCCAGAGGAAUGGAUGAGGAUAACACUGAGGGUGACCAGCAGCCUGCAAGAUUUAUUCUGAACUCCCAGAAGAAUGAACACAAAGCCAUGUUAACAGAGACCACUAUGAAUAUAUGUGCUGUAGACACUGACCUGACACAUGUCCUUCCACACCUCCUGGGGAUACCUUUUUUGUGAACUAUACUCAUAACAGUGCCAAUAAGGAAUAGUUAUUUCAUUCACACCCUGGUAGCCUCUAUGCCUGAUGCUCACGUUUGGAAGACAGCUCCUGAGGAAGAGAUCCUGCCAGCUGGAUUACCAGUGCUUAAUGUAGCUGUGCUUGUACCAAGUAGUUGAUAAGAACCCGUGUCAGUACCCUUCACCUAUCUGUUCACAGCCCUCUGAAAUGAAGGGACAAAAAAGGGUUCAACCCAAUGAGGGACAUCUGGGGUCCCAGAUCCUAAAAGAUUGGAGGACUGUGACUGCAGUAACAAUAAACUCUCAGCCAGCACUGAACUUGCA